GACGAACGCUGGCGGCGUGCUUAACACAUGCAAGUCGAACGGAAAGGCCCUGCUUUUGUGGGGUGCUCGAUUGGCGAACGGGUGAGUAACACGUGAGUAACCUGCCCUUGACUUUGGGAUAACUUCAGGAAACUGGGGCUAAUACCGGAUAGGAGCUCCUGCUGCAUGGUGGGGGUUGGAAAGUUUCGGCGGUUGGGGAUGGACUCGCGGCUUAUCAGCUUGUUGGUGGGGUAGUGGCUUACCAAGGCUUUGACGGGUAGCCGGCCUGAGAGGGUGACCGGCCACAUUGGGACUGAGAUACGGCCCAGACUCCUACGGGCGGCAGCAGUGGGGAAUAUUGCACAAUGGGCGGAAGCCUGAUGCAGCAACGCCGCGUGCGGGAUGCCGGCCUUCGGGUUGUAAACCGCUUUCGCCUGUGACGAAGCGUGAGUGACGGUAAUGGGUAAAGAAGCACCGGCUAACUACGUG
Molecule: ribosomal RNA, 468 nt
Filed under: uncultured bacterium
Lineage: Bacteria
Description: partial 16S ribosomal RNA
Rfam family: Bacterial small subunit ribosomal RNA
Source: RNAcentral